CACGUAGGCAGCAAGCGUUGUUCGGAGUUACUGGGCGUAAAGGGUGUGUAGGCGGUUCUUUAAGUUUGGUGUGAAAUCUCCCGGCUCAACUGGGAGGGUGCGCCGAAUACUGAGGGACUAGAGUACGGGAGAGGAAAGUGGAAUUCCUGGUGUAGCGGUGAAAUGCGUAGAUAUCAGGAGGAACACCGGUGGUGUAGACGGCUUUCUGGACCGUAACUGACGCUGAGACACGAAAGCGUGGGUAGCAAACAGG
Molecule: ribosomal RNA, 253 nt
Filed under: uncultured bacterium
Lineage: Bacteria
Description: partial 16S ribosomal RNA
Rfam family: Bacterial small subunit ribosomal RNA
Source: RNAcentral